Molecule: ribosomal RNA, 908 nt
Filed under: uncultured bacterium
Lineage: Bacteria
Description: bacterial SSU rRNA
Rfam family: Bacterial small subunit ribosomal RNA
Source: RNAcentral
AUCUCGGGCUUACUCGAACUGCAUCGAUACUGCGUGCUUGAGGACUGAGAGAGACUGAAUUCAUGUGUAGCAGUGAAAUGCGUAGAGAUCAUGAGGAAGACCAGUGGCGAAGGCGGGUCUCUGGACAGUUCUGACACUGAGACACGAAGGCCAGGGGAGCAAACGGGAUUAGAUACCCCGGUAGUCCUGGCAGUAAACGGUGCACGUUUGGUGUGGGAGGAUUCGACCCCUUCUGCGCCGGAGCUAACGCGUUAAACGUGCCGCCUGGGGAGUACGGUCGCAAGAUUAAAACUCAAAGAAAUUGACGGGGGCCCGCACAAGCGGUGGAGUAUGUGGCUUAAUUCGAUGCAACGCGAAGAACCUUACCUGGCCUUGACAUGCAUCUCUAAGCGCGUGAAAGCGCGUGAGUCCCGAAAGGGACAAUUUGCACAGGUGCUGCAUGGCUGUCGUCAGCUCGUGUCGUGAGAUGUUGGGUUAAGUCCCGCAACGAGCGCAACCCCUGUGAACUGUUGCCACCGGCCCGCGAGGGUCGAGCACUCUGUUCAGACUGCCCUGUGAAACGGGGAGGAAGGUGGGGACGACGUCAAGUCAGUAUGGCCCUUACGGCCAGGGCUGCACACGUACUACAAUGCCCAGUACAGAACGAUCCGAGACCGCAAGGUGGAGGAAAUCUAUCAAAGCUGGGCCCAGUUCGGAUUGGAGUCUGCAACUCGACUCCAUGAAGCCGGAAUCGCUAGUAAUGCCGUAUCAGCUACGACGGCGUGAAUACGUUCCCGGGCCUUGUACACACCGCCCGUCACAUCAUGGAAGUUGCUUGUAGCCGAAGCCGGCGCGCUAACCCGCAAGGGAGGCAGUCGAUUACGCUAUGAGCAGUAACUGGGAUGAAGUCGUAACAAGGUAACCAAGGG